RNAcentral lists this ribosomal RNA (502 nucleotides) under uncultured bacterium. RNAcentral describes it as "partial 16S ribosomal RNA". It matches the Rfam family "Bacterial small subunit ribosomal RNA", at positions 29 to 523 of the family's 1533-position model. The record is from RNAcentral.
AUUGAACGCUGGCGGAAUGCUUUACACAUGCAAGUCGAACGGCAGCACGGGUGCUUGCACCUGGUGGCGAGUGGCGAACGGGUGAGUAAUACAUCGGAACGUACCCAGUCGUGGGGGAUAACGUAGCGAAAGUUACGCUAAUACCGCAUACGUCCUGAGGGAGAAAGUGGGGGACCGUAAGGCCUCGCGCGAUUGGAGCGGCCGAUGGCGGAUUAGCUAGUUGGGGGGGUAAAGGCCGACCAAGGCGACGAUCCGUAGCGGGUCUGAGAGGACGCGCCGCCACACUAGAACUGAGAAACGGGCCAGACUCCUACGGGAGGCAGCAGUGGGGAAUUUUGGACAAUGGGCGAAAGCCUGAUUCAGCCAUUCCGCGUGAGUGAAGAAGGCCUUCGGGUUGUAAAGCUCUUUCGGCAGGGAAGAAACGGCUUGGGAUAAUACCCCGGGCUAAUGACGGUACCUGAAGAAGAAGCACCGGCUAACUACGUGCCAGCCGCCGCAGUAA